CCGUAGCCCAAGAGAUCGGGAUAACACCUGGAAACAGAUGCUAAUACCGGAUAACAACAGAUGAUGCCUAUCAACUGUUUAAAAGAUGGUUCUGCUAUCACUCUUGGAUGGACCUGCGGUGCAUUAGCUAGUUGGUAGGGUAACGGCCUACCAAGGCGAUGAUGCAUAGCCGAGUUGAGAGACUGAUCGGCCACAUUGGGACUGAGACACGGCCCAAACUCCUACGGGAGGCAGCAGG
This 238-nucleotide ribosomal RNA is filed under the name uncultured Lactobacillus sp. RNAcentral's name for it is "partial 16S ribosomal RNA". It matches the Rfam family "Bacterial small subunit ribosomal RNA", at positions 125 to 354 of the family's 1533-position model. Lineage: Bacteria; Bacillati; Bacillota; Bacilli; Lactobacillales; Lactobacillaceae. The record is from RNAcentral.